This 345-nucleotide unclassified non-coding RNA is filed under the name soil metagenome. RNAcentral describes it as "partial contains 5.8S ribosomal RNA, internal transcribed spacer 2, and large subunit ribosomal RNA". The stretch from base 1 to 120 matches the Rfam family "5.8S ribosomal RNA", at positions 35 to 154 of the family's 154-position model. The record is from RNAcentral.
GAUGAAGAACGUAGUGAAAUGCGAUACGUAAUGUGAAUUGCAGAAUUCAGUGAAUCAUCGAGUCUUUGAACGCACAUUGCGCCCCCUGGUAUUCCGGGGGGCAUGCCUGUCCGAGCGUCAUUGCUGCCCUCAAGCACGGCUUGUGUGUUGGGCCUCCGUCCUCCUCCCGGGGGACGGGCCCGAAAGGCAGCGGCGGCACCGCGUCCGGUCCUCGAGCGUAUGGGGCUUCGUCACCCGCUCUUGUAGGCCCGGCCGGCGCUUGCCGACACAUCAAUCUUUUUUCCCGGUUGACCUCGGAUCAGGUAGGGAUACCCGCUGAACUUAAGCAUAUCAAUAAGCGGAGGA